Molecule: non-coding RNA, 1595 nt
Organism: Morone saxatilis (striped sea-bass)
Lineage: Eukaryota; Metazoa; Chordata; Actinopteri; Moronidae
Source: the annotation of a RefSeq genome assembly
UGUUUGGACUGUGCGAACACACUCGGCUGAAACUGGCGUUUCCUUUUACUUCAUCAUGUACCGACAGAGUGACACCUGAGUCAGAAUGGAGCAUCUACAGAAUGUGAAAAUUCUGAUUAAAGUCAUGGCUAUUGUUCUGCACUGUGGAGGUUCCUCGGCUGACACAACAAGAAGGCUGAGUGUCUUGGUGGGCACAGACGUGACUCUAGGCUGCCUGUUUGAUAAACUGUCCAAGCUGGUGGAGUGGAGCGCUCUCACCGUCGAGUGGAACAUGGUGGACCAACGUGCAGAAAAGAGCAUUGUGUACACUGUGGAGGAUGGUAGAGCGUAUGUGAGCAGAGAUGGCUCUGUGGUGGAUAAAAAGCGGUUGCUAGAAGGCGAUGCAUCUUUGCAGCUUCACAAUGUGACUGUGGGAGAUGAAGGCCUGUAUACCUGCAGGAUCAUCACACCUGUAGUCUACACAGAGACCACUGCACUGGAAGUGCUAGCUCGGCCCUCAGUGAUGCUCCCAGAAAAGGCAGCAGUGACAGAGGGGGAGGAGAGGACGAUACAGUGUGACAUUGCAGGUUUUUAUCCAGAGAAACUGACCAUGACAUGGUACAUCCAAAAUGGCUCCCGCACUGUCCAUGCUGGCGGAAGCCACCUCUCCCGUGUCUGCACUGAAAUGGCCAUCCACAACCCAGACGGCACCUACAGUAUUCGCAGUGGCAUCACACUGCACUCAUCAGCAGUGAAAGACAGAGAGAUACACCUCAUCUGCCAGGUGGAACACCAGACCUACAGUCGGGGCUACAACAGAUCUGUUACACUGACCGUUCAAGCUCCACCACAGCCCCUUUACAGUGCUGUCACACUGAUAGCUGUCACCAGUGUCAUCAGUUUGUUGCUGGUUACCUCUGUUAUUGGAGGCACUUUACUUCUCUACAGGUAUUUUUGUAAAGCUCUUCCAAGUGUUUCUGACAUCAGCCAACCCAGCAUCAUAUACGCUCAGGUGCCGUUCAACCUCAAAUGCUCCAUCCAAGGGGCAAGACAGCGAGAGCUCAAAGUGAAGUGGUUUAGAUUAAAUGGCAGUGUGGACGCAGUGGUCCAGUCAGAAUCCGUUGCUCUGUUCGGCAACGAGGAUCUAAGUGAACACGCUUGUCUCCAGUCAGACGGCAGAAACCACACAUCUGUCCUGACUGUGUGUCUGACAGUCACUGAAGACCGGACCAAAUACCAGUGUGUGGUACUGUGCAGGGGCAAGAGCUUCAGCAAAGAGACCACAGUCCAGGUAAAAGUGGAGCCGUCUUUCCUCCAGAUCUCCAGCAUCCCUCAGAUCCCCAAGGUGGAGAAGAUGCUGGUUCUAUGCUGUCGGGUGGAGAACUUCUACCCCCAGGAUGUGGAAAUGGAGUGGUCCAGGAACGACGGGGAGCAAGUCCGCAAAGUCACACACUUUGGACCUUUCUCCGAUCACAACAGCCUCUAUAGCGUGUGGAGUAAGAUCCAGCUGGUCAUGGCGAGAGAGGAUGAGAGGGCCAUCUACACCUGCCGUGUUUACCACUCCAGCUUCUCUGCUCCGGGCUACAAAGAUGUCCUGUACCACAUCAACACUCAAG